ACAAGUAUUGAAGGUGAUGCCUGCCCGGUGACCCGAGAGGUUAAACGGCCGCGGUAUCCUAACCGUGCAAAGGUAGCGCAAUCAAUUGUCCCAUAAAUCGAGACUAGUAUGAAUGGCUAAACGAGGUCUUAACUGUCUCUUGCAGGCAAUCGGUGAAAUUGAUCUCCCUGUGCGAAAGCAGGGAUAAACACAUAAGACGAGAAGACCCUGUGGAACUUCAAAAUCAGCUGCCACCCCAAAAUACAUAAACACCCACCGGGUUCACUUACACAUAAGCCACUGGCACGCAUUUUUUCGGUUGGGGCGACCUUGGAGAAAAACAAAUCCUCCAAAAAUGGGAUCACCACUCCAAACUAAGAGCAACCCCUCAAAGUGCGAACAGCAACCAGACCCAAUAUAAUUGAUCAAUGGACCAAGCUACCCCAGGGAUAACAGCGCAAUCCCCUCCGAAAGUCCGUAUUGACGAGGGGGUUUACAACCUCGAUGUUGGAUC
Molecule: ribosomal RNA, 493 nt
Filed under: Catharus guttatus (hermit thrush)
Lineage: Eukaryota; Metazoa; Chordata; Aves; Passeriformes; Turdidae
Description: partial 16S ribosomal RNA
Rfam family: Bacterial large subunit ribosomal RNA
Source: RNAcentral